This 293-nucleotide ribosomal RNA is filed under the name uncultured bacterium. Its description in RNAcentral is "partial 16S ribosomal RNA". The record is from RNAcentral.
GGACUACAGGGGUAUCUAAUCCUGUUUGCUACCCACGCUUUCGCUCCUCAGCGUCAAUACUGGCCCAGAGCACCGCCUUCGCCACCGGUGUUCCUCCUGAUAUCUGCGCAUUUCACCGCUACACCAGGAAUUCCGUGCUCCCCUACCAGAUUCAAGCCACAGCAGUAUCGGAUGGCGUCUCGGGGUUGAGCCCCGAGUUUUCACAUCCGACUAACUGAGCCGCCUACGAGCUCUUUACGCCCAAUAAAUCCGGACAACGCUCGGACCCUACGUAUUACCGCGGCGGCUGGCAC